AUUGAACGCUGGCGGCAGGCUUAACACAUGCAAGUCGAGCGGGGUGAUGGUGCUUGCACUAUCACUUAGCGGCGGACGGGUGAGUAAUGCUUAGGAAUCUGCCUAUUAGUGGGGGACAACAUCUCGAAAGGGAUGCUAAUACCGCAUACGUCCUACGGGAGAAAGCAGGGGAUCACUUGUGACCUUGCGCUAAUAGAUGAGCCUAAGUCGGAUUAGCUAGUUGGUGGGGUAAAGGCCUACCAAGGCGACGAUCUGUAGCGGGUCUGAGAGGAUGAUCCGCCACACUGGGACUGAGACACGGCCCAGACUCCUACGGGAGGCAGCAGUGGGGAAUAUUGGACAAUGGGGGGGACCCUGAUCCAGCCAUGCCGCGUGUGUGAAGAAGGCCUUAUGGUUGUAAAGCACUUUAAGCGAGGAGGAGGCUCUUUUGGUUAAUACCCAAGAUGAGUGGACGUUACUCGCAGAAUAGCACCGGCUAACUCUGUGCCAGCCGCCGCAGUAA
RNAcentral lists this ribosomal RNA (502 nucleotides) under uncultured bacterium. Its description in RNAcentral is "partial 16S ribosomal RNA". It matches the Rfam family "Bacterial small subunit ribosomal RNA", at positions 30 to 523 of the family's 1533-position model. The record is from RNAcentral.